RNAcentral lists this transfer RNA (65 nucleotides) under Aegista aubryana. RNAcentral's name for it is "tRNA-Pro". The record is from RNAcentral. Lineage: Eukaryota; Metazoa; Mollusca; Gastropoda; Stylommatophora; Camaenidae.
UUAAAAGCAGUAUAUGAAUAUUUCAACUUUGGAAGUUGAGGAUUAGUAGUAAUACUACUUUUAAA